UUAGGAAAAGUAUAUAUUAAAGCAAAAGUACUACCAAGUACUUCUGACUAGUAUAUAUGAUAUACACAAGGACUUAGGAUUUUAGGAUUUUAGGGUUUUGUGUAUGUACGAGCAUUGAUGUUAUAUUAAUACUGUAAGGAUCCUAAGGAAAACCAUGGAAUUUAAACGCAGUGAACUGAAACAUCUAAGUAACUGUAGGAAAGGAAAUCAACCGAGACUCCAUGAGUAGUGGCGAGCGAAAGUGGAUUAGCCGAGAUAUUAAUGAUUUAAGUUUUAAUGAUUUGAAAGAUUAUUCCAUAGAAGGUAAAAGCCCUGUGAAAUUUAUCAUAUAAUAUUGUAAAUAUUAUAGAGCGGAAGAUAAUCUGCUCAGAAUAUUGGGGAUCCAUCCUCAAAGGUUAAGUAUAAAUGUUUAGCGAUAGUGAGAAGUAACGUGAGUGAAAGGUUAAAAUUAAGUGGGAAUACUAUUGAAAUAUUGAAUUAGUAAUCAUAUAAGCAAUUAAAGCAAUUCUAUCUUUUGAAAGAUCGAUAAGAAUGUUAUAAUGUACCUUUUGUAUAAUGGGUUAGCGAGUUGAUUAUAGUAGCAAGGUUAAUAGCCCUAGCGAAAGCAACUGAAUUUUUGUGGAUUUUUAGUUACUAUCUUCAGACCCGAAACCCGGUGAUCUAUCCAUGACCAGAUUAUUUUUAAAAUUAGAUCGAAUGGUUCAAUGUUGCAUUAUUGUCCAAUGAGUUGUGGAUUGUCGGCGAAAGGCCAAUCUGACCGGGAUAUAGCUGGUACUCCUCGAAACAUAUUUAGGUAUGACUUUCUUUAAUAGAUUUAUGCGGGUACAGCACUGAUUACUAUACCUUUAUGGUUUAAUUGGGGGGUUAUAAAAACUCUAUCAUUAGUAGUUAAUCUCGGAACAACAUAAAUUAAUGAAGAAAUUUCAGACUACUCAUGAUAAGGUGGGUAGUCGAGACGGAAACAGCCGUGAACAUAGAAUAAGGUCCCAAAGUAAUAAUUAAGUGAAUAUAAGGCAGUUAUGGUCCUAAAACAACUAUAAAGUUAGCUUGGUAGUUGCUAUCUUUUAAUGAAAGUGUAACAACUUAGUAGUCUAAUGGAACACAGCACCGACAAUUUACGGGUCUAGAUUAUUCACCGAAACUAUGUCUUAUUAUUCUAUAAUAUAUUUUUUAUACAUACUUCCACAAUUUGAUUUAAAUUUCUUAUUGACGGAUGUUAUGAUUUUAGAUUAAUAUUGGGUAGAGGAGCAUUCAGUAAAAAUUUGAAUAGUGUUACAUUGUUGAAAUAUUACUGAAGAGAUUAUGCUAACAUGAGUAACGUAGAAAGAAGAUAUAAAUCUUCUCGCCGAAUACGAAAGGGUUUUAAAGAAACGUUAAAUGGCUUUAAUUUAAAUCGGUCUCUAAAAUUUAAGAUUAAAAAGCUUAAUUGAUGAGUGUAUUGUAGAAAGUUAAAUUAUACCAAGAAAAUAAUACGAUCAUACCGUACCCUAAUCUGACACAAGUUCGUAGGUAGAGAAUACUAAGGCGUAGAGAUAAUACUGUAUAAGGAACUCGGCAAAAUGCGUCCGUACGUUUUACAAUAAGGACGACCUAUUCUUUAGGUGUCACAAAAUCGUGAAGCACAACUGUUUACCAAAAACACAGGUAUCUGCUAUGUAAUUUUACAUUGUAUAGGUGCUGAAUCUUGUCCGAUGUCCUGAGUAUAAGAUUGAUAAAGAAUUAUUUAGUUGCGUAAUGAAUUAAUAAUUUAACAAUAAGAAUUACAUAUUUUAAUAUUCUAAAUAUGUUAUCUGUUAACUUAUUAAAUAUAAUAAAGGCACUUAUAUAGUAAGUAUUAAUUGAAACUCUGAUCAAUGACAGACUUAACUAUAAGGUUUUUAACAGUAGCGAAAUUCCUUGGCCGUUAAAUGCGGUCCUGCAUGAAUAGAGUAAUGAUGCUUCAGCUGUCUCAUACAGUAUCUCAGUGAAAUUGAAUUAGCCGUGAAGAUGCGGUUUAAGUGUGGGUAGACGGGAAGACCCUAUGCAGCUUUACUAUAACCAGUUAUUGUUCAAAUCCAAAAGUAUGAAACAGAUAUGGGUAGUGGUUUUUUUAUUUAUAAAAAAAUAACGUUAAUGAGAAACCUUCGAAUACCGUAAGAUGAGAACUCAUCCGUAAUGAAAAUUUUAAUUGACCGUAAAUGUUAUUAUUAAAAAUAAGGUCAAUGAAAAUUGUAUCAAGUUUUUUUAGAAUAAAAAUAAUGACAUUUUUAAUAAGUUGGUUAAAAUGAUUAGUUGGUGACGCUGACUGGUUGGUAGUUUAACUGGGACGGUAGCCUCCAAUAAUGUAUCGGAGGCCUUCUAAGGUAUACUUAAAUUAGAUGGAAACUAAUUCGUUAUGUAAAAUGAAAUUAAAUGUAAAGAUAAAAGUAUGCUUAACUGCUAGAUCGACACAUCAAGCAGAUACGUAAGUAGGACUUAGUGAUCCGGUGAUCCUUUAUGGAAAGGUCAUCGCUAAAGGGAUAAAAGUUACGCUAGGGAUAACAGGGUAAUAGCUCUCGAGAGUUCAUAUUGUCAGAGCUGUUUGCCACCUCGAUGUCGACUCACCUUCACCUCUUGGUGCACAAGCUAAGAAGGGUUCUGCUGUUCGCAGAUUAAAAAGGUACGCGAGUUGGGUUCAAUACGACGUGAGUCAGUAUGGUUCCUAUCUUCCACACUAAGAAUAGUCAAAUUUAGAUGGGUCUUUAGUACGAAAGGACCGAGAUCUGCGUUUCUCUGGUGUACCAAUUGUUGAAAUAAAAUUCGGCACUGUUGGGUAGCUAAAAACGUUUAGAAUAAAAGCUGAAAGCAUAUAAGCUAUUGAAGUCGAUUAAAGGAGACUAUAGGUAAGAAAUAGACUAUUUCUUUAUAGGUCACAUGUGUAAACUUCGUAAGAAGAUCUAGCUUAGUGAUACUAAUUUACCAAUUUUAUUUACACCUACCAUA
Molecule: ribosomal RNA, 2961 nt
Filed under: Apiotrichum gamsii
Lineage: Eukaryota; Fungi; Basidiomycota; Tremellomycetes; Trichosporonales; Trichosporonaceae
Description: large subunit ribosomal RNA
Rfam family: Bacterial large subunit ribosomal RNA
Source: RNAcentral